CAAUCGAAUUCGGAGCUAGCUGGUUCUCCCCGAAAUGUGUUUAGGCGCAGCGGUUAAUAUUAUAGCUUAGAGGUAAAGCACUGUUUCGGUGCGGGCUGGUAAUUCGGUACCAAAUCGAGGCAAACUCUGAAUACUAAGUGAACAGUUAACCAGUAAGACUGUGGGGGAUAAGCUUCAUAGUCAAGAGGGAAACAGCCCAGAUCACCAGUUAAGG
RNAcentral lists this ribosomal RNA (214 nucleotides) under Chaetoceros curvisetus. RNAcentral describes it as "partial Bacterial large subunit ribosomal RNA". It matches the Rfam family "Bacterial large subunit ribosomal RNA", at positions 830 to 1044 of the family's 2925-position model. The record is from RNAcentral. Lineage: Eukaryota; Bacillariophyta; Thalassiosirophyceae; Chaetocerotales; Chaetocerotaceae.